Molecule: long non-coding RNA, 326 nt
Organism: Nerophis ophidion (straightnose pipefish)
Lineage: Eukaryota; Metazoa; Chordata; Actinopteri; Syngnathiformes; Syngnathidae
Exons: 3
Source: RefSeq, a predicted model, not a curated record
CAUACCAUCACACAUGCUGGCUUUUGAACUUUACGUCGAUAACAGUCUGGAUGGUUCCCCUCCCCUCUGGUCCCGUCACACAUGGACUUGGACUUUGGUUGUUUCUUCGACGCAGAGGAUGAUUUGCACGAGCCAGACGCGAAUGCUUUGCCAUCUCCUGACCGCACGUGACCUUCUGCGCGAAACUCUCCCUCACAAAACCGGGCCCUGUGUCAAGCACGGACUCGGAUUUGUUUUGCUUCUUCCACGCAAAGGAUGAUUGGCACGAGCCAGACAAGAGUGUGAGUACAUUUUUGAUUUACUUAAACACUAUAAUUCAAAACAGG